AGGGUGUAAACGCUGCAGACUUGGUGUUGGAGGCCCUUUGGGGGCAUUCAGUGCCGGAGGGAAGUUGUUAAGUCUGCUACUUGGGGAGUACGUCCGCAAGGAUGAAACUUAAAGGAAUUGGCGGGGGAGCACCGCAACGGGAGGAGCGUGCGGUUUAAUUGGAUUCAACACCGUAAAACUCACCAGGGAAGACUGUUACAUGAAGGCCGAGAUGAAGACUCUGCUAGAUUUUCAGAGAGGUGGUGCAUGGCGUCAGUGACU
Molecule: ribosomal RNA, 261 nt
Filed under: uncultured archaeon
Lineage: Archaea
Description: partial 16S ribosomal RNA
Rfam family: Archaeal small subunit ribosomal RNA
Source: RNAcentral